GGUUUCUGAAUACUGUUUGAUAUUUUCGGUAAAUAUUCUGCAUAAGAUGAAUGUUCAAAUAUUCGUACUGAAAGGGAAGGAUGUGGCGACUUACCUUAUAUGUUUCUAUUCCAUCGCAUGAAUAAGGAUUGGUAAAUAGUUGAAAAUAGGUUGGAACAAUAUAUUUUGUAAAUAUUCGUAAACAAGGUUAAGAGACAGCUGUUGGUUGACAUCUGCCGAACUUUCGUAGUGUCGUUCCGUCGACUUACACCGAACUAGUUCUACAGUUGUUCACGGGUGAGGAUUGAUCGGUUACUCAAGUUGUCAAGGGUUGUUUUAGGGUUGCAUUGCUUUGAGAAGGAGUUUUGAUGGGUCAUGGACUUGUUGAUAUUGUCUCAAGUGGCUGUGGAGGAAUUGAUAGAUGUAUGAUGUUGUGCACAGCGCCCCCUUGGUGCUUGUAGUGUAGAUUGGACGCACUGUGGCAACAACUGGUUAGCUGUCAGAUGUGGCAGUCUCCUUAGUAUUCGGAAGUUGGCUUUCGAUGAGUUUGGUUCGGAGUUCAAAGCGUACCAUCAGACUGAUUGUAGGAUAUAUUUGGUUGUAUUUGUGCCAUCCUUCACGGGUAUUAUUUCUACAAGUCAGGAUUGUAUAGUGGAAGACUGAUUGGCCAUUUUGGUGUGGAUAUUUGCAGUCUGAAACUUAAGCUCUUUUGAGGAUUUGUGGUGGUUACCGAACUCGUGCCAGAUGGAAGGAUUUCCGAAAUUAGAUUCAUAAGAAACAGAAGGCCCUCAGUCACUCAUCAAGUCCCAGUAGGACUUCCGUGCAGAGCACCGCACACGAAGAAACGUAUA
Long non-coding RNA from Leptinotarsa decemlineata (Colorado potato beetle), 830 nucleotides. The record is from RefSeq and is a predicted model, not a curated record. NCBI's taxonomy places the organism in Eukaryota, Metazoa, Arthropoda, Insecta, Coleoptera, Chrysomelidae.